AUGAAAGGAGAUAAGGAGGGGCGGUUUCAAGGCGCCCCCCACGGAGAACCCCGUUGGCCCCAGAGCAAAAGGAGAGUCAAGAGUGACUAAAUCAAAGGGAAUACGAAAAUGGAGGCAAGGAAAGAAACCGGAAAACAGCUUAUUGCUGCUGCUGCGAGGAAGCUCCUUUUUCUUUUUUCUUUUUACAAACACGAAGAGAGAAAAGUUUUUGUCGACGCUGGAAAGAGAGCAAUAUAGACUAGACCGGUGUGCCCGAGUCUUCCUACCCGGCCGAGGAGACGUCCAGCCCGGCCACUUUCCAGCCGGCCAGCCGCUCUUAUGCUCUGGAGAUGUGGCUUUUGCGCACAAUUGGAAAAUUAAAUAAAUAAACAAAUACAUUAAGCAUGCAAAACAUAAUGUAUAGUCCACUUUUAAGAUUUUGAUGCUUUUGUGUUCACCUAAAACCAUAUUUUUUUUGUGCAACCUCAUGCAUAACUUCAGUAAGAGCUCUAUACUGCAACUUCACCUGAGGAGUUAUGUCUCCUAUGUUUAAAAAAAGGUGAAUAAGCUAUUUUACGCACAUUAAAAAGUGUUUGAAGUUGCUCUGGAGAUGUGACGUUUGCGCACAAUUGAAAAAUUAAACAAAUAAACAAAUAUAUUAAGCAUGCAAAACAUAAUGUAUAGUCCACUUUCAGAUUUUGAUGCUUUUGUGUCCACCUAAAACCAUAUUUUUUUGUGCAACCUCAUGCAUCACUUCAAGAACAACUCUAUACUGCAACUUCACCUGAGGAGUUAUGUCUCUGAAUAAGCUAUUUUACGCACAUUAAAAAGUGGUUGAAGUUGCUCUGGAGAUGUGGCUUUUGCGCACAAUUGGAAAAUUAAAUUAAAUAAACAAAUAAAUUAAGCAUGCAAAACAUAAUGUAUAGUCCACUUUUUGAUGCUUUUGUGUCCACCUUAAAACCAUAUUUGUGUGCAACCUCAUGCAUCACUUCAUUAAGAACUCUACUGCAACUUCACCUGAGGAGUUAUGUCUCCUAUGUUUAAAAAAAAAAAGGUGAAUAAGCUAUUUUACGCACAUUAAAAAGUGGUUGAAGUGCGUUUAAAGUGGGGUGCUGCACCCCCAGCAUUAAUUGAAUAAACUUCUGAACGUCUAAAUAGAACCACAUAAAAAAAAAAAAAAAUUCACAGUGAAACGGGAAACACAUUUAUAGCGAAGCUGUAUGGUUUUAAAUGAGGUCCAAAUGGAGAGCUGUCUCCACGGGAGGCCCUCCAUACAGGGCAGCCAUCAGAUACUUCUGAUAGCCCUUUAAUGAUGCGGAUUUCCAAACAGUGCCAUGGAGGGAGACGCCCAGGCUAUCUAAAAAGGUGGUGCAAAACCCCAAGAGACAAUAGAGUCAUAUUAGAGGAGAAAAAGAAAAGCAGAGCUCUGCCAAGCUUUUGGGAUAUGUUAUGAAAAACAAGGCGUGUAACAGUGGUGAUGUGGGUAAGCCUGUAUCGUUCUUUUUUCUCCUUUUUGGUGGCCGACACACUAUAAAUAUCAACCUCAACAAACAACAAUGGCACCCAUAACCGCUUAGAAAGAAGACAUGAUGGAGUCAGAAGUUGACUUGGACACAAAAACAACGUGACCUUUUACUUCUCUGUGUGUGUGCAGGACAGAUGCUGCUAUUUCUGACAGAUAGGCUGGAGGCCUCACACCGGGAAUAUGUGAAAUAUAAAAAAAUGUUCUCAAAACUGUUACAUGACUAAGAUCAAGAGGAUGAUGGUGCAGAAAGAAGAUGAUGAUGGUGAUAUUGAUGGUGACGGAGGGAAUGGCUCGGGCACCAAAUUAGUGGCUGUCACACAGCCAUAUAUCCGGGCUGUAACCACCACCAGGCCUGCAUGGAUGAGAUGA
Long non-coding RNA from Sebastes umbrosus (honeycomb rockfish), 1873 nucleotides. RefSeq lists it as uncharacterized. The transcript has 3 exons. NCBI's taxonomy places the organism in Eukaryota, Metazoa, Chordata, Actinopteri, Perciformes, Sebastidae. The record is from RefSeq and is a predicted model, not a curated record.